Molecule: non-coding RNA, 1119 nt
Organism: Salvelinus sp. IW2-2015
Lineage: Eukaryota; Metazoa; Chordata; Actinopteri; Salmoniformes; Salmonidae
Source: RefSeq, a predicted model, not a curated record
AGUCAUUUUUCCACAAACAAGCGCUGUGACAUGGAGAUAUGGCCGUGUGGGAACACUAUCCCUGUCAAGAUGUGUAUCAACGUAACUUUUAUUUUUAAAUUAUGAUUUCGCGCUGAUAUGAAAGAUAAGGUCCUUGUGCUUCCAAUACCCUAUCGCAAGCGACACGUAUUAAUGUUCAGAUUGAGCGUCGGGGUACUCCCCCCUACAGAAGACGCCUUCCUCCAAUGACUCUUAUGUGUAAUAUAAUGGAACUGAGAGUCAUGAUCAAGGGCUAGAGAAAUGGAUGGAAAACAAAAUGCAUCUGGUGGACAUCAGGCUUAAAAUGUGGAUAUCAGCCAUCAAUAAACCCCACAGAAGAAGGGGCGGGGAUGACACCCUGCUUUUUCUCUUUGUUCUAGUAGCAUUUAGACCGAGUGAUUGCCCUUAGGGACGAUGACCCACUGUUUCUACCUGCUGGGGCGCUGGUGUUAUGAGGUGAGCCGAACAACAAGCUUUUUAUCCGUAGUCAGUGUCUUAUCUUGGAACUUGGCUGCAAAACGACAAAUAGCAAUACAACCAAUCCUAUGCUAACUAAAACGUGUUUCUGUUUUUUUAUAUAUUUUUUAAAAUUCUGUCGGUUUCCACUUUUGGCUGUCUGGAGAGGAAGACUGCUUUGGCUGUCUGGAGAGGAAAGCGGCAGCGGCCUUCCUCUCUAGCCAGCCAAUAGUGGAAACCGACAGAAUAAAAAAGAACAGGGACACGUGUUAUGACAAAUCACCAACAUCUACUCUCCAGGAGGCCCUUGAAAACUUCCUCAAGGACGAGGAUAGUGCUAAAUUGGAGGUGGAGCUGGCAGCCUUGAUUGACAAAGCGACUGACACCAUCCAGGAAACAGUGGGUGCCGCUGGAUGGCCAUUGGCCAACUAGUUCGCUCGUCACAGGCUACCCAAUCAGCUGUGUGCUAUAAACAGCAACCAUGACUUGUYCCUCAGCACGCUGGGUGUCAAUUUCAGAAGCCACUUCAUAUCACGUCACUGUGACAUGGUUCAAUAUGUUUUAAGCUAUUAUAUUGCAGUCCCAUGACAGCUCAAUUGGUGUCAAUACCUCUGUCUUUUUGUUAUACAGAAAUAUUACUUUAAC